CCACCUUCGGCCAGGGGUUAGUCUCCGGGUCGGUCCGGAAGAGUCGAGAAACUCGAGAUACCUUGCCGGCUGCUGCAGCCUGCCCCCGUCGUCUUUGUUCCGUGCGCCGAAACAGGGUCGACCCAAGAGCGAGAGGGGGACAAGGAAGAAAUCUCGGGAGAGGGGGAGAGCGAGAGAGAAACGCAUCGCGAUGUCGGCGGAGACGGAGAAGAGCGCCGCCGCGCCCGCGCCCGCGCCCAUGCGGUGCCAGCGAAUAGGCUGCGACGCCAUGUUCACCGACGACGACAACCCCGACGGCUCCUGCCACUACCACCCCUCCGUACCUAUGUUUCAUGAUGGCAUGAAAGAGUGGAGCUGUUGCAAGCAAAGAAGCCAUGAUUUUAGCUUAUUUUUAGCUAUUCCUGGAUGUGCCACAGGGAAGCAUACAACUGAGAAACCAGUCACAAAAGCUGUUUCUCUUAACUCAAAGGCAACCCCACCAAAGUUAGCUCCACUCCAGUCUUCUAAGCAGGGUGUGGAAACCGAGGCCUGCUCCAGGUGCCGUCAGGGUUUCUUUUGCUCCGACCAUGGAUCACAGCCCAAGGCACAAAAACCAGUUGCUGUAAAUGGUACAAAUACGGAACCUGUCGAGAAAUGCUCGGUUCCACAGCCCAAGAAAAAGGUUGUUAAUAUAAACGAGCCUAGGGUUUGUAAGAAUAAAGGAUGUGGUAAAACCUACAAGGAGAAGGAUAACCAUGAUGCUGCAUGCGAAUACCAUCCAGGCCCUGCGGUUUUCCAUGACAGGAAUAGAGGGUGGAAGUGUUGCGAUGUCCAUGUCAAGGAGUUUGACGAAUUUAUGGAGAUACCUCCAUGCACAAAGGGGUGGCACAAUGCUGAUGCCGUGUGAGUUCACACCAUGACUCUUGCAUUAAGAGUUAUAUUUGUUGUAUUAUCUCCUGGUGCAUAAGGUUGGCAUCUUGCCGCAAUUUCUGGAGAAGUAUGCUUGGAAGUGUGACCUGAUAUUCAAGAAUAGGCUGCUUGGAUGAGUAAUUACCUCGAAAUCUCAUGUGAUGUUUCAUGUAAUCUGGAAUCGGAACUUGAAACCAUAUGUGCACACUCAAUUUAGUAAUUUAACUAUGCCCUUUUGAAGUUAAAUGUGCU
Molecule: ribosomal RNA, 1140 nt
Filed under: Triticum aestivum (bread wheat)
Lineage: Eukaryota; Viridiplantae; Streptophyta; Magnoliopsida; Poales; Poaceae
Description: partial small subunit ribosomal RNA
Source: RNAcentral